RNAcentral lists this ribosomal RNA (308 nucleotides) under uncultured bacterium. Its description in RNAcentral is "partial 16S ribosomal RNA". It matches the Rfam family "Bacterial small subunit ribosomal RNA", at positions 505 to 809 of the family's 1533-position model. The record is from RNAcentral.
GAGACAGCAGUAGCCGCGGUAAUACAGAGGGUGCGAGCGUUAAUCGGAUUUACUGGGCGUAAAGCGUGCGUAGGCGGCUAAUUGAGUCGGAUGUGAAAUCCCCGAGCUUAACUUGGGAAUUGCAUUCGAUACUGGUUAGCUAGAGUGUGGGAGAGGAUGGUAGAAUUCCAGGUGUAGCGGUGAAAUGCGUAGAGAUCUGGAGGAAUACCGAUGGCGAAGGCAGCCAUCUGGCCUAAUACUGACGCUGAGGUACGAAAGCAUGGGGAGCAAACAGGAUUAGAUACCCGCGUAGUCCCUGUCUCUUAUAU